AUUGAACGCUGGCGGCAGGCCUAACACGUGCAAGUCGAGCGGAUGAAGGGGGCUUGCUCCUGGAUUCAGCGGAGGACGGGUGAGUAAUGCCUAGGAAUCUGCCUGGUAGUGGGGGAUAACGUCCGGAAACGGGCGCUAAUACCGCAUACGUCCUGAGGGAGAAAGUGGGGGAUCUUCGGACCUCACGCUAUCAGAUGAGCCUAGGUCGGAUUAGCUAGUUGGUGGGGUAAAGGCCUACCAAGGCGACGAUCCGUAACUGGUCUGAGAGGAUGAUCAGUCACACUGGAACCGAGACCCGGUCCAGACUCCUACGGGAGGCAGCCGUGGGGAAUCUUGGCCAAUGCGCGAAAGCCUGAUCCAGCCAUGCCGCGUGUGUGAUGAAGGUCUUCGGAUUGUAAAGCACUUUAAGUUGGGAGGAAGGGCAGUAAGUUAAUCCCUUGCUGUUUUGACGUUACCCACAGAAUACGCACCGGCUAACUUCGUG
This 484-nucleotide ribosomal RNA is filed under the name uncultured bacterium. Its description in RNAcentral is "partial 16S ribosomal RNA". It matches the Rfam family "Bacterial small subunit ribosomal RNA", at positions 30 to 507 of the family's 1533-position model. The record is from RNAcentral.